Long non-coding RNA from Notolabrus celidotus (New Zealand spotty), 767 nucleotides. RefSeq lists it as uncharacterized. Lineage: Eukaryota; Metazoa; Chordata; Actinopteri; Labriformes; Labridae. The record is from RefSeq and is a predicted model, not a curated record. The transcript is spliced from 3 exons.
CCUCUCCCAGUCGUUUAAAGAGCCUGCCUUUGCCCCGUCCAUUAAAGAGACUCUAAAUGACCCCCAGCUGACCUCCGCAGAGAGAGGAUGGCAGUAGCUGUUUAAAAAGACCUCCAUCCCACAAGGUCGAUGUCCCGGCUACACAAGGCCAUCCGUACGAGUAUCUCAGUGGUGCUAGAGACUCGACAGACCACACAGGAGCUCCCCUCCAAACAUUCGAGCCCACACAAUGUCAAACCAAAUCCCGAAAAGGCCGUCCAACCCUCACAAAGGAUCUGCCCGAUGGCCAAAGCUCAGACUUUCACAUUUUUCACGGUCUGGACUGGGGAUGAAUCCUGCAGGGGACGAAAUGGAGUGACCUGUGGAGAUGUAAAAAAAAAAAAAAGGGGAAGAUAAUGCAUGUAUCACACAUCGCCAUUCUCUGGAGAAAGGGGGUGGGAGAGGAAGCCUGUAAGGUAAAUGGAGUUCCACAUCCUGGGGGACGACCUGCUGGAGAAUACUUCCUUGGCGGUGUAUACAUUUUACAUACACACCGGAGUGCUCUGAACUGACUGUGAACCUGCUCUGUGGAUGUCUUGAAUUUGGCUGUUGUUAAAAGUGAUGAGUCUAACGCUUACAUUAGACAUCAAGCAUCGCCUACUAGGGGGGAAGAGUAAAUAAAUAAUGCAGUAUAUGCGAGGGUGAUGACAUCAUAUUUCUCAAGACACUUCUAAUCUCAUAUUAUUGUGCUCAUUAACCUAUAUCCAAUCCCCUCCAAUGAAUAAAUA